GUGCCUGUAGUUUAGUGGUAAAACUUCGGCUUGUGGAGCCGAUAUCGAGAGUUCAAUUCUCUCCAGGCACCCCA
This 74-nucleotide transfer RNA is filed under the name Candidatus Nomurabacteria bacterium RIFCSPLOWO2_01_FULL_39_17. RNAcentral describes it as "tRNA-His". It matches the Rfam family "tRNA". Rfam says of the family: Transfer RNA (tRNA) molecules are approximately 80 nucleotides in length. Their secondary structure includes four short double-helical elements and three loops (D, anti-codon, and T loops). Lineage: Bacteria; Candidatus Nomuraibacteriota. The record is from RNAcentral.